This 396-nucleotide ribosomal RNA is filed under the name uncultured bacterium. RNAcentral's name for it is "partial 16S ribosomal RNA". It matches the Rfam family "Bacterial small subunit ribosomal RNA", at positions 523 to 918 of the family's 1533-position model. The record is from RNAcentral.
ACACGUAGGGAGCGAGCGUUGUCCGGAAUUACUGGGUGUAAAGGGUGCGUAGGCGGGUAUGCAAGUCAUAUGUGAAAUACCGGGGCUUAACUCCGGGGCUGCAUAAGAAACUGUAUAUCUUGAGUGCAGGAGAGGUAAGCGGAAUUCCUAGUGUAGCGGUGAAAUGCGUAGAUAUUAGGAGGAACACCAGUGGCGAAGGCGGUUUACUGGACUGAAACUGACGCUGAGGCACGAAAGCGUGGGGGCAAACAGGAUUAGAUACCCUGGUAGUCCACGCUGUAAACGAUGGAUACUAGGUGUAGGAGGUAUCGACCCCUUCUGUGCCGCAGUCAACACAAUAAGUAUCCCACCUGGGGAGUACGACCGCAAGGUUGAAACUCAAAGGAAUUGACGGGG